Gymnodraco acuticeps is the source of this 1954-nucleotide long non-coding RNA. RefSeq lists it as uncharacterized. The transcript is spliced from 3 exons. NCBI's taxonomy places the organism in Eukaryota, Metazoa, Chordata, Actinopteri, Perciformes, Bathydraconidae. The record is from RefSeq and is a predicted model, not a curated record.
AACGAGAGUGAUGGAAAUCGGGAGGAAAAACAAAGUUGAUUGAAGUGGAGAAAGAUAUAAGAAGGCCGCCAUGUUGUGUCCUUUCUGUGGCCAACAUCUGGGGACAGUUCAAGUGUUCUGUGGCUCCUGUGGCAAACAUGUACAGUUUGUGGCAGAAGUUGAACACAACAGCCUUCCAUAAGGAGGGUCAGGAACACGCAACUCUGGAUGUGUUUGAAUGUUUGAGGAGCAAUAAACGACAGCAGCUUUUUGGCAUGUUAAAACUAUUAUUUUCUGCCUCGCUCAUGAGAGGAACAGCUGGCGAAAUUACAGCCUCGCCUACUGAUUUCAAAUGUGUGCUCUAAAAUGAUAUUUAUAAAUGACUAUUAUUAUAAGCAAGACAAUAAAUGGCAAAGAUAUGUAGAAAAUAAACGUAUUUGAGAAACAUUCAUAAUGAACGUAACGUGGGAGAAAAUACGUUUCUAGCUAAACGUAAUUGAGAAUGCAGUUGAGUUCUGUGGGAACGUCAUUUUUAGGAGACAGGGUUGUCACAAUACAUUCUGAUGAAAAAUACAAAUGAUUAUGAAUACAAAUAAAAUAAAAGAAGCCUCCCGUGAGUUACUACAAGCUAUAAAUUAGAUUUUAAAAACGUUUCAUAGAAUAAAAGCUCACUGCUGGACGUUGUAUAAAUGCGUGUGCGCACCACGACAAAGGAGCCUCAUUCACUUUACAUUGGGUUGUUUGCGUGGUGCAGACACGUAAAUGUAGCAGAGUCCGUGACUCCACCACGCACUGCGGUGUUAAGGAGUCGUGGUGGAGUCACGCAUUCUGGUGAGACCAGGUUGUAUUGAACCUGCUGCAAGAUGUAUUUGUUCUUUUUGCAGAGUUCUGCAACAAUGUGUGCCGCAGUCAGGUAUUCUGUGCUGGGAAAGACACACUGAUGUAUUGUAAUAUUAAAUGAUGAAGCUAGUAAUAAGAUUUAAAGUAUAGAAUAGAACAAUUAAGUGGUAAUAGUAACAAUUAAUGCCUUUGCUCCAUUUUGUCUUCUGGCUCAGACUGGCUAUUAAUAAUGAUACACAUUUGUGUAGUUGCUGCAGUGAGAAGACAGUUGAAUAAUUACUUUCAAAUACAUAAUAUACGCAUGACAGUCGUAUUUACAAAAGGAUGUCGAUCCUCUUCCUGUUUCUUUAAUACAUUGGGUUCUAAACUGACAACAGCACUUUGUCGUACUCCUGCACAAUCCUUGUAAACAUUUGAAAUGGAUGCAACAAACAAUAUCUGAUCUUUGAAAAAUAUUUGUGGGUGUUUUUUGUAUCGUCUUCACUAAGAUGUCCGAUGUUGUGGGUGUCAUUUGGAAAUGUAUGAAAGUAUAAUUGUUCUGCUUCCUGGCAAUGUUACCCACUGUGAUUGGAGGCUAUACAAACAAACAAAUGUAAAAUAAAGAUACACCAAACAACUGUGUCACGAUGCAACUGUCAACCUCGUUUACCGAUAGAAGUGGUUCUGACCCGGGGCAGAACCACUUCUAUCUACUGGACCUCUUCCUGGAAUGGGCUUGGUUCCUAUUUGUACUCAGGAAAUACAUGCAGUUGAUCUAAUCACAGUGUCAUUAGUACACAAAGGUAUUUAUUGAUUUCAUCUUCCCAAAUUCGAACCUACAUGGUAUAAUUACAUUUUGAAUCAGUCUUACCCGAUCAGACGCUGGCUGUGGGGCCGGAGAGGUCUGAUAAAGGUAAACAACAAAUAUAUUCAAACUACUGUGCUGUUAAAACAUUCUGCUUCUUGUGGCACAAAAUAAUAUGUUGGCAAUGCUUUAUUUUACCCUGCAAACUGUUGUCCAUUCGUGGAGUGCUCACUGUUGGAACAUUUGGAAUGUCUCAGGCUGUACUUUAUAUCCAUAAAGAAAAAGUAAAUCUGUUAACAGUUGUUUCAUAUGGAUGUUGAGAGGUAUCCAUAUAUCCUUCAUGUUGCUCUC